Molecule: transfer RNA, 58 nt
Filed under: Cloacina communis
Lineage: Eukaryota; Metazoa; Nematoda; Chromadorea; Rhabditida; Strongylidae
Description: tRNA-Tyr
Source: RNAcentral
AAAGAAUUUAGUUUAAUUUAAAAAUAUUAAAUUGUAAAUUUAAAGUUUUAUAUUCUUG